UACGGAGGGUGCAAGCGUUAUCCGGAUUCACUGGGUUUAAAGGGUGCGUAGGCGGGCAGGUAAGUCAGUGGUGAAAUCUCUGGGCUUAACUCGGAAACUGCCAUUGAUACUAUCUUUCUUGAAUACCGUGGAGGUCAGCGGAAUAUGUCAUGUAGCGGUGAAAUGCUUAGAUAUGACAUAGAACACCAAUUGCGAAGGCAGCUGGCUAAGCGAAUAUUGACGCUGAUGCACGAAAGCGUGGGGAUCAAACAGG
This 253-nucleotide ribosomal RNA is filed under the name uncultured bacterium. RNAcentral's name for it is "partial 16S ribosomal RNA". It matches the Rfam family "Bacterial small subunit ribosomal RNA", at positions 524 to 776 of the family's 1533-position model. The record is from RNAcentral.